RNAcentral lists this ribosomal RNA (525 nucleotides) under Rhodotorula mucilaginosa. RNAcentral describes it as "eukaryotic LSU rRNA". It matches the Rfam family "Eukaryotic large subunit ribosomal RNA", at positions 108 to 649 of the family's 3401-position model. The record is from RNAcentral. Lineage: Eukaryota; Fungi; Basidiomycota; Microbotryomycetes; Sporidiobolales; Sporidiobolaceae.
CUCAAAUUUAUAAUCUGGCACCUUCGGUGUCCGAGUUGUAAUCUCUAGAAAUGUUUUCCGCGUUGGACCGCACACAAGUCUGUUGGAAUACAGCGGCAUAGUGGUGAGACCCCCGUAUAUGGUGCGGACGCCCAGCGCUUUGUGAUACAUUUUCGAAGAGUCGAGUUGUUUGGGAAUGCAGCUCAAAUUGGGUGGUAAAUUCCAUCUAAAGCUAAAUAUUGGCGAGAGACCGAUAGCGAACAAGUACCGUGAGGGAAAGAUGAAAAGCACUUUGGAAAGAGAGUUAACAGUACGUGAAAUUGUUGGAAGGGAAACGCUUGAAGUCAGACUUGCUUGCCGAGCAAUCGGUUUGCAGGCCAGCAUCAGUUUUCCGGGAUGGAUAAUGGUAGAGAGAAGGUAGCAGUUUCGGCUGUGUUAUAGCUCUCUGCUGGAUACAUCUUGGGGGACUGAGGAACGCAGUGUGCCUUUGGCGGGGGUUUCGACCUCUUCACACUUAGGAUGCUGGUGGAAUGGCUUUAAACGACC